RNAcentral lists this long non-coding RNA (219 nucleotides) under Bos taurus (domestic cattle). RNAcentral's name for it is "long non-coding RNA NONBTAT011837". The record is from RNAcentral. Lineage: Eukaryota; Metazoa; Chordata; Mammalia; Artiodactyla; Bovidae.
UGGGAAAUGUAAUUUAAAGAAUCAUUGGCAUCUAGUUAGUUCCUUGAAGAGAACCCCUCCAUUCUAAGGGUUUCUUUAAGGGACUGUCAGAGUACAGGGCCUACCUGUUCUCUCCUGCCACCUGAGUUUCCUUCCUUGAAAGAAAUAAAUAUUAUCGCACUGCUCCCUGCCCUACAGACUCCAUAAGAAACUCUUAUAGGUUUAAAAGUCUUCCGUGUG